UGAAGUUAUUAGGAUUUUUAUUAAUUAUCUUUGAUAGACAGGGUCCUGAAAAGGGGACGUCUCUUUUUUGCUGAUUUGACAUAUUAGAUGAGCAUAAGCCAUUUGUUACUUAAAAAAAAAAAAAAAACACUACAGUAGUCUCUAAGUAUUGUCAUUACCACCAUGACAAGCAAAUUACAUUAUUGUUUUUUUUUUAAGUUUGUGUAUUUGGUUAUUAUGGAUAUGAAUAGAGACAGUGGAGCUCAUGGGGGGAGAUUCAGAGUUUGAUGCCAGGAAAUGACAGAAAAUAAAGAAGAUCACAUGGGAUUUUUUGUAGGCUGGACAUGGGAAAGGUACUGCRUUUGAAAUCGGUCCAGCUGUGAAGAGAAGUUGAUUCCAUGGUGGCAAGAGGAAAGGCCCUUCAGAAUGGAAGGGUUCUACGAGGAACUUUCCAACGAGCAGUCAAAUGUCACAGAGCAAGAGAUUGAGAAAAUUGAUCUCCUGCUUCCAGAUCGUAUUGAGACGAUCCGUGGAACAAUGAAAAUACACCAGAUCGUCACUGCCAUUCCAGGACCAAUCACAUGGAGAGUUCUAAGUUGUUGGUGCUCAACUCCACAUCUGUGAUUGUUUUGGCCCACAGACCGUGAUAAUUCAACAGAGGCAGUCAAAGCACAAUCUUCACUUCAACCUGCACAGCACCAUAACUAUUUCCUAGUGCAAAACUGACCAUUGCAGACAUACAUGAGAGACUGAUUGGAAAGUGGUGUGUUGUGAAAACUCAUGAAGACCCUUACCUUGGUAUUAUACAAGAUGUUGAUGCAGAGAGCAGUGCUCUAGUCAAGACGAUGAGUCGUGUGAGAGCAAACUGAUUAUUUUGGCCAACGAGAGAGGAAAUUGUAUGGUACCAACCAGAGAAUGUGCUUGGGCUUGUCCCUGAACCUCAUCCAGUGACAAAAUGGCAUAUGAUGCCUGCUGGCGCAGUCUGGGAGGAAAUUUGCUCUCUGGUUAAGUAAUAGAGAGCAUAAUCUUGAGUGAGCACAUACCUGUCUCAUGAGUCUCAAUCAAUAGACUGCAGCCAGUGAACAACAAUUUGUUUAAUGUCGACUAGUGUUUAGAACCUUGUAGAUGUAUUUCUGCCUAAUGCUUUGAAUCCAACAAUUGUUCUAAAAUAUGCUUUAAGUUCUUGAGGCAUGUAACCUUUUGUUUUUUGAGGUUUUGAAUGGUGUGUUCUAUAUCUUCAAUAAAAUGAAACAUGUACAACUGUGACAUUCAAAAUGUUUAAUGGUAUUUUUCAGCAGUUUUAUAUGAAAUGUAAUUUCCACCACACUGUCAUUACCAUCACGGUACAUCUUUUUUAGGAAAAUGUGUAUUAAAUUACUAUUGAUGAUGAUUCCCAUAUGUGAACCUUUAUAUGCUUGUUCUUAAGAUAUUAAGAUGUUGAUGUGGUAAAUGCAUGUUUCUGAGUAUCAUCAAGGCAUAUAUGGACAAUUUUAUGAUGUGGUGGUAAUGACAUUUCCUCUCAGGUAUUUGUGGAAACCUAUAAACAAUCUUUAUAUUCUUAAAUAGUUUGGUCUCAGCUACUAUUUGAUCUUGUUUCCAGAUAGAGUGAAGAAAAUAUUCAGAUAGAUUUUAAAAAACUGUUUCAAGAGGUUUCAUUUUCAAAAACAUCCAAAAAGUGCCUGUAUAUACAAAAUCAACCAUAUCAAGUAUACCGAUACUACCACAGUGGCAGCUCUCAAACCUCCAUCCACUC
Molecule: long non-coding RNA, 1732 nt
Organism: Salvelinus sp. IW2-2015
Lineage: Eukaryota; Metazoa; Chordata; Actinopteri; Salmoniformes; Salmonidae
Source: RefSeq, a predicted model, not a curated record